RNAcentral lists this ribosomal RNA (1431 nucleotides) under metagenome. RNAcentral's name for it is "bacterial SSU rRNA". It matches the Rfam family "Archaeal small subunit ribosomal RNA". The record is from RNAcentral.
ACCCGUUGAUCCUGCGGGAGGUUGCUGCUAUUGGAAUUCGACUUAGCCAUGCAAGUCCAGGUUCCGCAAGGGACCGGCAGAAUGCUCAGUAACACGUCGUUAAUCUGCCCUUAGGUCAGGGAUAACCUCGGGAAACUGAGGAUAAUACCUGAUAUGGAGUUUGUUCUGGAAUGAUAUUCUCCUGAAAGAUUACGCCUAAGGAUGAGACGGCGCCUGAUUAGGCUGUUGGCGGGGUAACGGCCCACCAAACCUAGUAUCCGUACGGGCCUUGAAAGAGGGAACCCGGAGAAGGACACUUAGACACUGGUCUUAGCCCUACGGGGUGCAGCAGGCGCGAAACCUUUACAAUGCACGAAAGUGUGAUAAGGGGAUUCCAAGUGCUCAUGCAAAGCAUGGGCUUUUGCCAUAUGUAAAUAAUAUGGCGAAUAAGGGGUGGGUAAGACUGGUGCCAGCCGCCGCGGUAACACCAGCGCCCCAAGUGGGAACCAGCAUUAUUGGGCCUAAAGUGUUCGUAGCCGGAAUGAUAAAUCUUCUGUGAAAUUGUUGGGCUUAACCUAACAACGUGCAGGAGACACUGUUAUUCUUGGGACCGGGAGGAGUCAGAGGUAUUCCGGGGGGAGCGGUAAAAUGCAGUAAUCCCUGGAGGACCACCUGUGGCGAAGGCGUCUGACUAGAACGGAUCCGACGGUGAGGGACGAAAGCUAGGGGAGCAAACCGGAUUAGAUACCCGAGUAGUCCUAGCUGUAAACGCUGCGAGCAAGGUGUUGCAUGAUCCUGUGAUCAUGCAGUGUCGAAACGAAGGUGUUAAGCUCGCCGCCUGGGUAGUACGGUCGCAAGGCUGAAACUUAAAGGAAUUGGCGGGGGAGCACUACAAGGGGUGCGGCGUGCGGUUUAAUCUAACUCAACGCAGAGAAUCUCACUAGGGGCGACGGCUGGAUGAAAGUCAGGUUGAAGGCCUUACUUGACUAGCCGAGAGGUAGCGCAUGGCCGCCGUCAGCUCGUGCUGCGAGGUGUCCAGUUAAGUCUGGUAACGAGCGAGACCCACAUCUUCAAUUGCUAACAGGUACCUAGUAUGACUGAGCACAUUGAAGGGACUGCCCGGGAAACUGGGAGGAAGGCGUGGGCAACGGUAGGUCUGUAUGCUCCGAAUCUCCUGGGCUACACGCGCGCAACAAUGGUAGGAACAAUGGGAUGCAACACCGAAAGGUGGAGCUAAGCCUCGAAAUCCUAUCUUAGUUUAGAUUGAGGGUUGUAACUCACCCUCAUGACACUGGAAUCCCUAGUAAUCGGGUUUCAUCACGGCCCGGUGAAUAUGUCCCUGCUCCUUGCACACACCGCCCGUCAAAUCAACCGAACAGGGCUUGGGUGAGUGCUAUCUUCAGGAUAGCCCGAACCUAAGCUCAGUGAGGUGGGUCAAGUCGUCACAAGGUA